RNAcentral lists this ribosomal RNA (481 nucleotides) under uncultured bacterium. RNAcentral describes it as "partial 16S ribosomal RNA". It matches the Rfam family "Bacterial small subunit ribosomal RNA", at positions 32 to 523 of the family's 1533-position model. The record is from RNAcentral.
AAUCAACGCUGGCGGCGUGCCUCAGACAUGCAAGUCGAACGAUUAAAGCUCUCUUCGGAGAGUGCAUAGAGUGGCGCACGGGUGAGUAACACGUAAGUAAUCUACCUUCGAGUGGGGAAUAACGUCCGGAAACGGACACUAAUACCGCAUAAUGCAGCGGCAUCGCAAGAUGACAGUUGUUAAAGAUUUAUCGCUUGAAGAGGAGCUUGCGGCAGAUUAGCUAGUUGGUAAGGUAAUGGCUUACCAAGGCUACGAUCUGUAACCGGUCUUAGAGGACGGUCGGUCAUACUGACACUGAAGAACGGUUCAGACACCUACGGGAGGCAGCAGUUGGGAAUUUUGGGCAAUGGGCGAAAGCAUGACCCAGCAACGCCGCGUGAAGGAUGAAUUAUUUCGGUAUGUAAACUUCGAAAGAAUGGGAAGAAUCAAGGACGGUACCAUUUAUAAGGGCCGGCUAACUACGUGCCAGCAGCCGCCGUAA